GAUGAACGCUGGCGGCGUGCUUAACACAUGCAAGUCGAACGGUGAAGCAGGAGCUUGCUCUUGUGGAUCAGUGGCGAACGGGUGAGUAACACGUGAGCAACCUGCCCCUGACUCUGGGAUAAGCGCUGGAAACGGCGUCUAAUACUGGAUAUGUGAUGUGACCGCAUGGUCUGCAUCUGGAAAGAAUUUCGGUUGGGGAUGGGCUCGCGGCCUAUCAGCUUGUUGGUGAGGUAAUGGCUCACCAAGGCGUCGACGGGUAGCCGGCCUGAGAGGGUGACCGGCCAGACUGGGACUGGGACACGGCCCAGACUCCUACGGGAGGCAGCAGUGGGGAAUAUUGCACAAUGGGCGGGAGCCUGAUGCAGCAACGCCGCGUGAGGGAUGACGGCCUUCGGGUUGUAAACCUCUUUUAGCAGGGAAGAAGCGAAAGUGACGGUACCUGCAGAAAAAGCACCGGCUAACUACGUGCCAGCCGCCGCGGUAA
Molecule: ribosomal RNA, 484 nt
Filed under: uncultured bacterium
Lineage: Bacteria
Description: partial 16S ribosomal RNA
Rfam family: Bacterial small subunit ribosomal RNA
Source: RNAcentral